AGCGAACGCUGGCGGCAGGCUUAACACAUGCAAGUCGAGCGCCCCGCAAGGGGAGCGGCAGACGGGAGAGUAACACGUGGGAACAUACCUUUUGGUUCGGAACAACUGAGGGAAACUUCAGCUAAUACCGGAUAAGCCCCUACGGGGAAAGAUUUAUCGCCGAAAGAUUGGCCCGCGUCUGAUUAGCUAGUUGGUGAGGUAACGGCUCACCAAGGCGACGAUCAGUAGCUGGUCUGAGAGGAUGAUCAGCCUCACUGGGACUGAGACACGGCCCAGACUCCUACGGGAGGCAGCAGUGGGGAAUAUUGGACAAUGGGGGCAACCCUGAUCCAGCCAUGCCGCGUGAGUGAUGAAGGCCUUAGGGUUGUAAAGCUCUUUUGCCCGGGAAGAUAAUGACGGUACCGGGAGAAUAAGCCCCGGCUAACUUCGUG
RNAcentral lists this ribosomal RNA (431 nucleotides) under uncultured bacterium. Its description in RNAcentral is "partial 16S ribosomal RNA". It matches the Rfam family "Bacterial small subunit ribosomal RNA", at positions 29 to 507 of the family's 1533-position model. The record is from RNAcentral.